CAGCCCUUCGUCCAACGGCAGGACGCUGGUCGGCCACGACCGGAGACGCGGGUUCGACCCCCGCAGGGCAG
This 71-nucleotide transfer RNA is filed under the name Roseateles terrae. RNAcentral describes it as "tRNA-Gly". The record is from RNAcentral. Lineage: Bacteria; Pseudomonadati; Pseudomonadota; Betaproteobacteria; Burkholderiales; Sphaerotilaceae.